CACAAAUGAUGACCACAUCCUUAAUUGAACUCUCUCACUGAUAUUUGAUGAGAAUCUAAGGUCUGAUGC
RNAcentral lists this small nucleolar RNA (69 nucleotides) under Ornithorhynchus anatinus (platypus). RNAcentral describes it as "C/D box snoRNA Oa1764". Lineage: Eukaryota; Metazoa; Chordata; Mammalia; Monotremata; Ornithorhynchidae. The record is from RNAcentral.